ACCAGGUAUGGGGGCUCAUGCCUGUAAUCCCAGCAACUCAGGAGGCUGGGGCAGGAGGAUUGCGAGUUUGACACCAGCCUCAGCAACUUAGUGAGGCCCUAAGCAACUUAGGGAGACCCUGUCUCAA
Molecule: small RNA, 127 nt
Filed under: Marmota monax (woodchuck)
Lineage: Eukaryota; Metazoa; Chordata; Mammalia; Rodentia; Sciuridae
Source: RNAcentral